GACGAACGCUGGCGGCGUGCCUAAUACAUGCAAGUUGAGCGCUGAAGGUUGGUACUUGUACCGACUGGAUGAGCAGCGAACGGGUGAGUAACGCGUGGGGAAUCUGCCUUUGAGCGGGGGACAACAUUUGGAAACGAAUGCUAAUACCGCAUAAAAACUUUAAACACAAGUUUUAAGUUUGAAAGAUGCAAUUGCAUCACUCAAAGAUGAUCCCGCGUUGUAUUAGCUAGUUGGUGAGGUAAAGGCUCACCAAGGCGAUGAUACAUAGCCGACCUGAGAGGGUGAUCGGCCACAUUGGAACUGAGACACGGCCCAAACUCCUACGGGAGGCAGCAGUAGGGAAUCUUCGGCAAUGGACGAAAGUCUGACCGAGCAACGCCGCGUGAGUGAAGAAGGUUUUCGGAUCGUAAAACUCUGUUGGUAGAGAAGAACGUUGGUGAGAGUGGAAAGCUCAUCAAGUGACGGUAACUACCCAGAAAGGGACGGCUAACUACGUG
This 497-nucleotide ribosomal RNA is filed under the name uncultured bacterium. RNAcentral describes it as "partial 16S ribosomal RNA". It matches the Rfam family "Bacterial small subunit ribosomal RNA", at positions 28 to 507 of the family's 1533-position model. The record is from RNAcentral.